CGAGGGGAGACAUUCAUCCUCUUUUGACUGUCCCUGUUGACUUUCCUGUGGCAAAGGCUCCUUCUCAGAAGCCGCUGACUUUCGCCAAAUCAGCAUCAAGUCACAACUGCCCUCCCGUGUGAACCCAGGUAAAGAAUCUGCAGCUCCUAAAGACUGAGGAACUUCACCAGGGCCACAGACACCUGGAGCCAGGUUGAACCCAGAUUCGUCAGACGUGAACCGUUGCCCUAAGUCAGGUUAGUGCCG
This is a long non-coding RNA of Balaenoptera musculus (blue whale), 246 nucleotides long. RefSeq lists it as uncharacterized. The transcript is spliced from 3 exons. The record is from RefSeq and is a predicted model, not a curated record. NCBI's taxonomy places the organism in Eukaryota, Metazoa, Chordata, Mammalia, Artiodactyla, Balaenopteridae.